Molecule: ribosomal RNA, 582 nt
Filed under: Cytospora leucostoma
Lineage: Eukaryota; Fungi; Ascomycota; Sordariomycetes; Diaporthales; Cytosporaceae
Description: eukaryotic LSU rRNA
Rfam family: Eukaryotic large subunit ribosomal RNA
Source: RNAcentral
GCGGAGGAAAAGAAACCAACAGGGAUUGCCCUAGUAACGGCGAGUGAAGCGGCAACAGCUCAAAUUUGAAAGCUGGCUCCGGCCCGCAUUGUAAUUUGCAGAGGAUGCUUUUGGCGAGGUGCCUUCCGAGUUCCCUGGAACGGGACGCCAUAGAGGGUGAGAGCCCCGUAUGGAUGGACACCAAACCUGUGUAAAGCUCCUUCAACGAGUCGAGUAGUUUGGGAAUGCUGCUCUAAAUGGGAGGUAAAUCUCUUCUAAAGCUAAAUACCGGCCAGAGACCGAUAGCGCACAAGUAGAGUGAUCGAAAGAUGAAAAGCACCUUGAAAAGGGGGUUAAACAGUACGUGAAAUUGUUGAAAGGGAAGCAUUUAUGACCAGACUUGCGCCGGGCAGCUCAUCAGGGGUUCUCCCCUGUGCACUCUGCCCGGCUCAGGCCAGCAUCGGUUCUCGUGGGAGGAUAAGAACAGUGGGAACGUGGCCCCCUCUCGGGGGGGUGUUAUAGCCCAUUGUACGAUACUCUCGUGGGGACCGAGGUUCGCGCUCCGCAAGGAUGCUGGCGUAAUGGUCAUCAAUGACCCGUCUU